This 253-nucleotide ribosomal RNA is filed under the name uncultured bacterium. Its description in RNAcentral is "partial 16S ribosomal RNA". It matches the Rfam family "Bacterial small subunit ribosomal RNA", at positions 524 to 776 of the family's 1533-position model. The record is from RNAcentral.
UACGGGGGGGGCAAGCGUUGUUCGGAAUUACUGGGCGUAAAGGGUGCGUAGGCGGUUUGCUAUGUCGGAUGUGAAAACUCUGGGCUCAACCCAGAGCCUGCAUCCGAAACUGGCGAGCUAGAGUUCUGGAGGGGGUAGCGGAAUUCCUGGUGUAGCGGUGAAAUGCGCAGAUAUCAGGAAGAACACCCGUGGCUAAGGCGGCUCUCUAGUACGGUACUGACGCUGAGACGCGAAAGCGUGGGGAGCGAACAGG